CGCCCCGUUAGCGGGGAGCGGGUCAGGUGCCCCCCGAAGCGGAGAGAAGGAGCCUCCGUAGGCCUUUGGGCCCAGGGCCCCCCUGUAAGUCGGGGUCAGUGCCCUGGUGUCCCAGGCCCUUUGUGGUCCAGGCAGCGGCCGGAGCCCCCUGUAAGCAGGGCGGCAGCCUCUUUGGCCGCUGCUUCGCGUGCCCAGCUGCCUUUGCCCAGAGGGCCCGGCUCCCCGCAGCGGGUGGGACUGCGCCGUGCGUCGCCGUGAAGCCGUCGGAGAAGAGAGCGGAAGAGGCGUCGCGCGGGACGGCAGCGCCGGCGCGGGAAGACGCCGCGGAGCCCUCCGAGAAGAAAGCAGAGCCGUGGAGCGGGACGGCGAGGCAAGAGCGAGGAAGAAGAGCGUCGGCUUCGCGCUCAAGAGGGGGCGGGAGAAAGGCCCUCUGGGCAAAGGCCCCUCCCUUGGCAUCCCCGGGGCAGGGAUCCCAAAGAGUCCGGCGGGCAGCUUCCGGCUGCGCCGGCCGGCUUGGCGCUGGGCGGACCUCCCUGUAAGCAGGGCUGGGUCCUUUGCUUUGCUUGGCGUUGGCCUUUUGCCAUCGCGCUCCUGUGGCUGCCCGGAGAGAGGGGCAACCGCCCUGUAAGGAGGGCGAGAGUGCCCGCCUCCGCGCCCGAGGGGGGACACGGAGCUCUCCCGACCCCCGGCCCGCCCGCCCCGUAAGCGGGGCAGGGCUUUUUCCCUUGGCACCUUUGGUGCCUGCUGGCGGCCCCUGGCCAGAGUGACCCCCCGUAGUCGGGGUGUGUCACGGCCUGUGUCCCUUGCCCCUCAGCACGCCGAGGCCCUUCUGGCCCGCGCGCAGCCCGGGGCCACUAACGGGCUUCUCUCCGUCCUCGGGAACAGGGGGCGAGCCCGAGGCUCUCCUCCCCUGCUCGGCGGCAGGGCCGGCUCCCCACGGCUUGGCGCACAGAGCUUGCUCCCUCUUCUGGGACGUUCCCCCUUUGUGUCCUUGUCCCGUCGGUGUGAGUGAGCGAGCGAGCGAGCUGGUCCCUCCUGUAGCCCCCGUAGAGAUGUAGGCAGCGUAGCUUAGACUUCCCAGGAGGGAAAGAGGGGCUCUGUGUGCCAAC
Long non-coding RNA from Pseudopipra pipra, 1109 nucleotides. RefSeq lists it as uncharacterized. Lineage: Eukaryota; Metazoa; Chordata; Aves; Passeriformes; Pipridae. The record is from RefSeq and is a predicted model, not a curated record. The transcript has 3 exons.